Molecule: microRNA, 22 nt
Filed under: Homo sapiens (human)
Lineage: Eukaryota; Metazoa; Chordata; Mammalia; Primates; Hominidae
Description: hsa-miR-6502-5p
Source: miRBase by way of RNAcentral
AGCUCUAGAAAGAUUGUUGACC